Gymnodraco acuticeps is the source of this 3703-nucleotide long non-coding RNA. RefSeq lists it as uncharacterized. Lineage: Eukaryota; Metazoa; Chordata; Actinopteri; Perciformes; Bathydraconidae. The transcript has 3 exons. The record is from RefSeq and is a predicted model, not a curated record.
UAAAAUAUUGCCUAGGGCGGCAAAUUGGUCAGGGCCGGCCCUGCCCUGCCCCGCCCAUUUCUUUAGCUUCCGGUUUAGUAGACAACGAAAAAAGUAAACAAUUAAUUAUAUUUAGCCUUUAGGAACAGUGCUUUGUAAUAACUCUCAGUACCAGAUUAAUUACCUAACCUAAACACAUUUACUACCCAAUAGCAUAGUUCCAUCCCCUGAAGACAAGGAAUGUGUCAUAGUAGAAAUGUGCAGCCCAAUGAAAGAAGGAAGCAUAAAGCUUGUACAUUUCUAUAACCCGUGUAAAAAUCUUCACAUUGAAACUUUACAGACAAUAGCAGGGACGAGUCAUAGAAGGGAAGUAUGGUGUGGUGAUUUUAAUGCUCACAACAGCCUAUGCGGAAGCAGUCAAACAGACAGUAAUGGUGAUGUUAGAGGAAAGAUCAUUGUUUUGCCUUAAUGAUGGACAAAAAACAAGAAUAGACGUGAAUAGGGGGACACAAUCAUGUUUGGACCUCACACUUGUGACGGAUAGUUUAGUUAAAUCGUGUGAAUGGAAUGUAAACGUGACUAUACCAUAGGAAGUGAUCAUUACCCAGUAUUCUCUAUCAUCAACACAAAUAGGAAGUGAGUAUAUUUUCCAGGUGGUGCUUUGGUAAAGCAGACUGGGAGAAAUGUAGAAUUCGCUGUAAGGAGUCAGCACAAUUGUUAGCAUUAGAAGGAAGUAUAGAGGAGUGCUCAAAUCAAAUCACAAUGCACAUUAAAGAAGCAGCAAAUAUAAUUAUACCAAAAAGAACAACAGAGGGUAUAGGAAGAAAGUGGUGCCGUGGUGGAAUGAGGAAUGUAGCAGAGCUAUUAAAGAACAAAACAAGGUAUUCAGUAACUACAGACAUAGCAUUAACAUCACACUUGUGUAAAUGGAUGGAGAAGAUGACAUAGACAUGUCUUAGAACAAAGAGGGUUGCUGAGUAAUUUCCAGACUGGUUUUCGCAAAGGAAGAUCCACAAUGCUUUGGUUAGAGUGAUCAAUGAGGUGGGAAUACAGUGUGAAGACACUGAAAAUGAAAGAGGUUAUGGCAAUAGUAUAUUUUGACAUUGAUAAGGCUUAUGACUCUAUGUGGAGGGAUGGGUUACUCAUCAAAUUAAGUGACAGGUGACAGUAACAGUGACAGUAACAGCAUCUUGGCUCAGACAGGAAAUUCAGAGUUCAAGUAGGGGCAGAGGUUUCGAAAGACUUCAAUAUAGAAAAUGGUAUUCCCCAAGGGAGUUCAAUCAGCCUGAUAUUAUUUAACAUUAUGAUAAAUGACAUAUUGACUAAGUUGGACGGAUGCAUCAAAUCUGCGUUGUAUGCAGAUGACGGGGACAUAUGGAUAAGGGGAAGAAAUGUUCCAGAAGUGGUCAUACAACUGGGGUUUCAAACUGUCAGCAAGCACAUCUUGCUUCAUGACAUUUACAAAUAAACGCAAGAUGGAGACUGAGAAGCUUACAUCAUAUGGAAAGCCGAUGAAUGAGGUCAAUGCAUUUAAAUAUCUGGGGCUAUGGUUAGAUAGUAAAUGUACAUGGAAAAACCAUAUUAAACAUUUGGAAACAAAAUCCCAAAAAGUUUUGAACCUAUUAAGAGCAGUGGCUGGAUGAGACUGGGGGCAGACAAACAGGCACUAAUUGACAUCUAUAGGGCAAUUAUGAGGACAACUCUGGAUUACGGGUGUAUAAUAUAUAUGCAGCAGCAGCAAAAACGUCAUUACUAAAAAUGGAUAGAUUACAAUAUAAAGCAUUACGGUUGUGUAUAGGUGCAAUCAACAAUUAAUCAAUCAUUAUCACAAUUACCUCAAAAUAUAGCCAACACAGAUAGAUAGAUUCAACUUAUUGUCAUUACACAGUACAGGUACCGUGUAACGAAACGGUUUCUCUGCAUUUGACCCAUCCUAGUGUUAGGAGCAGUGGGCUGCCAUUAUGUACGGCACCCGGGGAGCAGUGUAGGGAACGGUGCUUUGCUCAGGGACAACUCGCUAGCACUUGGUCUUUCCGGGACUUGAACUGGUGACCUUCCAGUUGCCAAGCCCCUAUGGACUUCGCCACCACCGCCCGAUGGUUCUAAGAACAAGGAAGAGUGUGUUGGAGUUGGUAUAUAUAUAUCCCAGACUUUAAAAUAUCAAUUUCAAAAAGAGCGUCAGAUCAAUUAUCAGUGUGCAACAGAAAUGCUGGCUGUAAUAAUAGGAUUACAGUGGGUUGAAGAGGUCAGACCAGAUAGGGUGGUGAUAUGCACAGAUUCAUUAUCCAUUUUAAAAAGUAUACAGUCAACAACAACUGUCAGAGAAGAAUUACUCAUAUAACUUAAUCUAGGAAAUCAUGAUAGCUAGACUCAGACUGGAUCACACAGCAUUGAAUGUUACUCUAUGUCGUAGGAACUGUGGAGUUAAAAAAAAUGUGGAACAUAUCAUAUUACACUGCAACAUGUACAAAACAGAGAGGGAAAAACUAAGAGACAGGGAGAGUGGAGCCUGAUGGGGAUACUGGGAACAGAAGGUGAGGGGGUAAGAGCUACCAGGAAGGCCAUUCUUAAGUAUUUGAGUGAAAAAGGAUUGAUUGGAAGAAUUGAAAACAACGUAAACACAGUGGUAUAAUUCCACAAGUGCUGACAGGAUGAUAUGUUGAUACACGCUCUUGUACAGUAGGGGGCGGUAUGCACCUUAAAGUUGUUUGCAAUCCGCCAAAAAACCGAGAGAAGAAGAAGAAGAACGAUUAUACAUCCAUGGAAGGACCAGACACAUGGCAGCAACGUUCCCAUCUGCUUCAUUCAUUUCUCCUGUUCAACCGAUAAUAAACCUGGUUGACAAGAAGGAAGUCGUUUUCAUUCGACACAACGCAGAGAUACAUGUGGCGUCAAUCCAGACCGGUUACACAAAGAAUGAUAAAUAGAGAAAACAGAUAUAAUUUGCUUAUUAUCUGAUUACCAGCUCUGCACAGCGGACUUGUAACACUAGCAGCAGUGGAGAUGGAGCAUCAGAACCUGGAGGCUUCUACUCUCCUGAAGAAGAAGAAUACAGCAACAAGGAUCCAUUUGAAGAUAGGUAAAUGUAAAUAUUACAGUAAUAGUGUACUUGCAUUGUGUGGGUGUAAGGGUGUAACUUUGGUUUGCGAAGUGGGGGGGACACAAAACAGGGGGCAAUGAAACAUUUUCUCAAUUUAAUUCCAUUUCCUGCCUUUCUACAAAUAUAUUAGGGGCUAUAGUGUUAAUAAAUCCAAGAAAAAUGUGUAGUGUAUAUAAUGAGUGUGCACACUUAUCUAGUAUCCUAUCCAUGUGAACCUGUUUUAUUUGUGAUGACCUCACAUCCUCUAGGGGGGUACUAGUAUAUAUUUCAAUCAUCAAAAAUCCUGCUUGCUCACAAGCAAUAACACAUAUUUGAUCAACUCCUCUCUCCUAUCUUUAUCUUACCUAGUCUGCAUUCUUUCUUUUUAUUUAUGCAUAUUUUACUAAUCACUCCCCUUUCAAACUGUGUUUUUUAUGUUGUACUGACCUAUUGCACACAGUGGAAUGAUUUAUUAACUCAUUUUAUAUACAACUAAUAUUACAUAGAUGGAAAUGAUGACCAAACCUCCCUGAGCUGACGUUAUCUCUCUCAGUCCCACAGGAGAGAGCUCUCCCUCUCCUUAUUGUUGAAACGGCUUCUAAUCUCCGUUAGCUCCGAGCUAGCACCAAAUACUAACAACGUCUC